Long non-coding RNA from Pollicipes pollicipes, 2068 nucleotides. RefSeq lists it as uncharacterized. The record is from RefSeq and is a predicted model, not a curated record. Lineage: Eukaryota; Metazoa; Arthropoda; Thecostraca; Pollicipedomorpha; Pollicipedidae. The transcript has 2 exons.
GCCUCCGCCGCCGGCCGACAGGCGGCCCGCGAAGUCGACUGACAGCCCGGCGGAGGCGUCCGAGGUGUCCGAGCCGCCGGCGCAGCCGUUCCCCGCCACCAAGGAGCACCUGCUCAAGCAGAAGCAGGCCAGAGCUGACGGCGCCGAGCCAGCCGACGCCGACGGCGGAUCGGAGAAGUCCGCUCAGGCGGCGCCGGAGCCCGCCCCCGCCCCCGCUCCCGCCCCGGCCGACGCUGCCCAGGCGGACAGCGCGCCGCCCGCCGACCGGGCGCCAGAGACCAAGCAGAAGCGUAGGUGGUGGAAGAAGUAGCGUCGACGCGGCGAGUGGUGGUAGAUGCUGCUGGAGCGCCUCGCGCCGGGGAAGCUUGCGAUAUGCGCGCGCGCGCGUCGGGCCGCGUGAUUUGAAAUGGGGGCGGCGUGCGUGGCGUGUGUGAGAUGUCGGUGUGCGUGUUUCGGGUGCAGUGUCACGUAGCCAGCCGUCGAUGUUGCAAUAUAUGCCCCGCGCGGCCCUGGCCUGGUGGCCAGCAGACCCAUCGCUGCGCGGUCCUGGCCUGGUGGUCUGCAGACCCGUCGCUGCGCGGCCCUGGCUUCGUGGUCUGCAGACCCGUCGCCGCUCGGGACACGUUGUGCCCUGCGCCUCCCUGCGCCGCCUUGUGGAGCCUUGACCAGUGCCGUUCGCGUACGCGUGUCGGGCGCCGUUGUUUAUCUAGACUUGCUAGUCGAUAUAGCCUGCUCUCCGCUAACAGGACGCCGCGCGUCGUACGCCCCCAGUUAUGUGACCUGCACGUAUAAUUUGCCAUUAUCUGGAGGUGUUGUUCCCUCCCCUUCCCCCGCUGCGUACCCAGCCGUCACUGUUCGCGAACAUCGCUAACACCGCCGUGCUUCUUCAUAAAGCCCAUGCGGGUGUUUAAAGCGGCAUAUGGCCGUGGCUGUUGACUGCGUCUGCAUCAAUGGCCACAGCAUGAACUGUCGUAAUUGCUGCAUCGCCAAUACGGAUCUGAAAACCGGGCCUUGUUCGCGUGCUGCGCGCGCAAAAUUAAGAUUUGCCUCGUGUUCAGGGGUUGCACGCGAUGUGCGCGCGUCACGAUGGGCAGUCGGCUUGAAUAUUCGUGGUGUUUGCGGGGUCGCCCCGUCGCGUAUGGCGCGAGUGGUUGUACUGGUUGUACCCCUUGAUAUUGCAAUUUGGCCAUUUCACGUACAACCAGUGUGGGAAAGCCGUAGCUAUUUAGGUUGUAAAAUGUCACCGGCACGGAAGCGGUGUGGAGAAUUUUGGAAGAGGUGAGUGGCAUGAGGCAUACGCCGGGAGUCAGAAGGUGUCCUGUGCCUUCCCGAUACCGAGUAAAGAACAAGGGAGCUGUGGCGAUCGCGAAGCCAUUCGCCGUACGCUUGUGAGCGUGUCCGUGUUGUUUCCUUGAGUGUUGUGGUUGCUCCUGAUCGCGUGCACUGCGCGGGUGCCUUUGCAAACGUGAAUCUCGCGCCGUUUCCCCCACCAAUCAGGAUGCACGCGCGAAGCAAGUGAACAGGGCCCAGGUUGACUCAUUCAGCCGUCUGGCCAAUCGGCACCAACUGUCGUGACGUCACGUCACGUACUGGCAUCCGAUUGGCCUGUCGUAUUGAGGUUCGGCGGUAGGACCAAUCACGAGCGGGCGCAUGUAACCGCGGCGGUGUAGAUGGCGCUAGUGAGCCGUGCUUUCAAUGUGUGUACCGUGCUGGUAUCAGGACGCGUGUGGCGAAUUGUAAGGCCAUAGCCGUCGUGGCGUAGUUACUGAGCGAUAACCUCGCUCGUAAUAGUCAAUGCCGCGCACACCCAGGGACGAACGCCCCGUCGUCUACCGAUCUCCCAUGAAAUCUGCGUCGCAGAUUUCACCCCGUGACUUUCAGUUAGAUGGUGCCACUGCUUUGGAGAGGCACGCGUGUUUGUGAGGUGAAGGGCCCUCGCCCUGGGUAUGUGCGGCGUUGAGACCCCGCGCUUUGAGAUGUCCCCCUGGGAAAGUUGACGUGUUUCGAAUGUAGUCAGAUGACGUGGAAGCUAACCAACCAUGCGCUGGAAAUAAACAACGAAGGGCAA